This 475-nucleotide ribosomal RNA is filed under the name uncultured bacterium. RNAcentral describes it as "bacterial SSU rRNA". It matches the Rfam family "Bacterial small subunit ribosomal RNA", at positions 501 to 975 of the family's 1533-position model. The record is from RNAcentral.
CUACGUGCCAGCAGCCGCGGUAAUACAGAGGGUGCAAGCGUUAAUCGGAAUUACUGGGCGUAAAGCGAGCGUAGGUGGUCAUUUAAGUCAGAUGUGAAAUCCCCGGGCUUAACCUGGGAACUGCAUCUGAUACUGGGUGACUAGAGUAGGUGAGAGGGAAGUAGAAUUCCAGGUGUAGCGGUGAAAUGCGUAGAGAUCUGGAGGAAUACUGAUGGCGAAGGCAGCUUCCUGGCAUCAUACUGACACUGAGGUUCGAAAGCGUGGGUAGCAAACAGGAUUAGAUACCCUGGUAGUCCACGCCGUAAACGAUGUCUACCAGUCGUUGGGUCUCUUGAAGACUUAGUGACGCAGUUAACGCGAUAAGUAGACCGCCUGGGGAGUACGGCCGCAAGGUUAAAACUCAAAUGAAUUGACGGGGGCCCGCACAAGCGGUGGAGCAUGUGGUUUAAUUCGAUGCAACGCGAAGAACCUUACC